Long non-coding RNA from Gavia stellata (red-throated loon), 807 nucleotides. RefSeq lists it as uncharacterized. NCBI's taxonomy places the organism in Eukaryota, Metazoa, Chordata, Aves, Gaviiformes, Gaviidae. The transcript is spliced from 2 exons. The record is from RefSeq and is a predicted model, not a curated record.
AGAAGCAGUAAUAAUCUAAAUCCAAUCUAACCUACCCAAGAGACUGAUCCUCUGCAAAUGGCAUAUUCAUGUGGACACUACUUGAGCACCUUCCCGAACUGACCUAUGAUCUGCAGUGCUUUCCUAAAAGCUACUCGUUUCCUGGGAAAACCUCUGCGAUAAGGCUAGGGGAGGAGGAAGAAGAGGCCCAACAGAAGUCCUUAAUGUUCAGACUGCUUUAAUCUAAAAGGCUACUUAACAAAACUGAAAGUUCUCUGCACAAGAACGUGAAUGAGUACCUCUGGAGUGGCCAUGUCAGCACGCCAGUUCAGCUGCAGGACUUGCAGGAUGUGGCACGACUUUUUUGGUGAAAGAAUGAUGCUAUUCUCUUCUAAAGAGUAACACAAUCACCCUUUGAAGCUAAUUGGAGUUGAUGUGCUGGCCUACUGAAAGAGCAGAGCAUGGCCAUAUUUAAGGCGAGAGAUUUUUAAAACUUCUUUAUCCCUCUUUCUCUAGCAUUAAUGAGCAACAAAAAGUUACUCGGGCAAGUAUUUUUUACUUAUGUAUGCAAGUUGCUUGUUUGUUUAUUCUUACACAAAACUAAUUUAGCUAAGAACAGAACUGCUGGGUGCUUUUGUAUUAAACAUCUGUUCUCAAAUAGCCAUAUUUAAUCUAAUAUUCUUAUUUUGCUGAUGGAAACUAAGUUUAGAAACUGCUUUGCUGCUGUUUUUUGUUUGGGUUUUUUUUGCCAGUGUGAGCUGUAUUUUGAGUGAUGGUAUUAAAAAUCAAGCUGCAAUUCUUUUCACAAUAAAAUGGCUGGUAAGUUUA